GGCUGGGGGUGAAAGGCCAAUCAAACCGGGAGAUAGCUGGUUCUCCCCGAAAGCUAUUUAGGUAGCGCCUCGUGAAUUCAUCUCCGGGGGUAGAGCACUGUUUCGGCAAGGGGGUCAUCCCGACUUACCAACCCGAUGCAAACUGCGAAUACCGGAGAAUGUUAUCACGGGAGACACACGGCGGGUGCUAACGUCCGUCGUGAAGAGGGAAACAACCCAGACCGCCAGCUAAGGUCCCAAAGUCAUGGUUAAGUGGGAAACGAUGUGGGAAGGCCCAGACAGCCAGGAUGUUGGCUUAGAAGCAGCCAUCAUUUAAAGAAAGCGUAAUAGCUCACUGGUCGAGUCGGCCUGCGCGGAAGAUGUAACGGGGCUAAACCAUGCACCGAAGCUGCGGCAGCGACACUAUGUGUUGUUGGGUAGGGGAGCGUUCUGUAAGCCUGUGAAGGUGGCCUGUGAGGGUUGCUGGAGGUAUCAGAAGUGCGAAUGCUGACAUAAGUAACGAUAAAGCGGGUGAAAAGCCCGCUCGCCGGAAGACCAAGGGUUCCUGUCCAACGUUAAUCGGGGCAGGGUGAGUCGACCCCUAAGGCGAGGCCGAAAGGCGUAGUCGAUGGGAAACAGGUUAAUAUUCCUGUACUUGGUGUUACUGCGAAGGGGGGACGGAGAAGGCUAUGUUGGCCGGGCGACGGUUGUCCCGGUUUAAGCGUGUAGGCUGGUUUUCCAGGCAAAUCCGGAAAACCAAGGCUGAGGCGUGAUGACGAGGCACUACGGUGCUGAAGCGACAAAUGCCCUGCUUCCAGGAAAAGCCUCUAAGCAUCAGGUAACAUCAAAUCGUACCCAAAACCGACACAGGUGGUCAGGUAGAGAAUACCAAGGCGCUUGAGAGAACUCGGGUGAAGGAACUAGGCAAAAUGGUGCCGUAACUUCGGGAGAAGGCACGCUGAUAUGUAGGUGAAGCGACUUGCUCGUGGAGCUGAAAUCAGUCGAAGAUACCAGCUGGCUGCAACUGUUUAUUAAAAACACAGCACUGUGCAAACACGAAAGUGGACGUAUACGGUGUGACGCCUGCCCGGUGCCGGAAGGUUAAUUGAUGGGGUUAGCGGUAACGCGAAGCUCUUGAUCGAAGCCCCGGUAAACGGCGGCCGUAACUAUAACGGUCCUAAGGUAGCGAAAUUCCUUGUCGGGUAAGUUCCGACCUGCACGAAUGGCGUAAUGAUGGCCAGGCUGUCUCCACCCGAGACUCAGUGAAAUUGAACUCGCUGUGAAGAUGCAGUGUACCCGCGGCAAGACGGAAAGACCCCGUGAACCUUUACUAUAGCUUGACACUGAACAUUGAGCCUUGAUGUGUAGGAUAGGUGGGAGGCUUUGAAGUGUGGACGCCAGUCUGCAUGGAGCCGACCUUGAAAUACCACCCUUUAAUGUUUGAUGUUCUAACGUUGGCCCGUAAUCCGGGUUGCGGACAGUGUCUGGUGGGUAGUUUGACUGGGGCGGUCUCCUCCUAAAGAGUAACGGAGGAGCACGAAGGUUGGCUAAUCCUGGUCGGACAUCAGGAGGUUAGUGCAAUGGCAUAAGCCAGCUUGACUGCGAGCGUGACGGCGCGAGCAGGUGCGAAAGCAGGUCAUAGUGAUCCGGUGGUUCUGAAUGGAAGGGCCAUCGCUCAACGGAUAAAAGGUACUCCGGGGAUAACAGGCUGAUACCGCCCAAGAGUUCAUAUCGACGGCGGUGUUUGGCACCUCGAUGUCGGCUCAUCACAUCCUGGGGCUGAAGUAGGUCCCAAGGGUAUGGCUGUUCGCCAUUUAAAGUGGUACGCGAGCUGGGUUUAGAACGUCGUGAGACAGUUCGGUCCCUAUCUGCCGUGGGCGCUGGAGAACUGAGGGGGGCUGCUCCUAGUACGAGAGGACCGGAGUGGACGCAUCACUGGUGUUCGGGUUGUCAUGCCAAUGGCACUGCCCGGUAGCUAAAUGCGGAAGAGAUAAGUGCUGAAAGCAUCUAAGCACGAAACUUGCCCCGAGAUGAGUUCUCCCUGACUCCUUGA
This 2032-nucleotide ribosomal RNA is filed under the name human gut metagenome. RNAcentral's name for it is "bacterial LSU rRNA". It matches the Rfam family "Bacterial large subunit ribosomal RNA", at positions 813 to 2826 of the family's 2925-position model. The record is from RNAcentral.